UACGAAGGGGGCUGGCGUUGUUCGGAUUUACUGGGCGUAAAGCGCACGUAGGUGGAUUGUUAAGUGAGGGGUGAAAUCCCAAGGCUCAACCUUGGAACUGCCUUUCAUACUGGCAAUCUUGAGUUCGGAAGAGGUGAGUGGAAUUCCAAGUGUAGAGGUGAAAUUCGUAGAUAUUUGGAAGAACACCGGUGGCGAAGGCGGCUCACUGGUCCGAUACUGACACUGAGGUGCGGAAGCGUGGGGAGUAAACGGG
RNAcentral lists this ribosomal RNA (253 nucleotides) under uncultured bacterium. Its description in RNAcentral is "partial 16S ribosomal RNA". It matches the Rfam family "Bacterial small subunit ribosomal RNA", at positions 524 to 776 of the family's 1533-position model. The record is from RNAcentral.